GCUCGGGUGUCGGAACUGGUAGACGAUCACGACUCAAAAUCGUGUGGCCUUAUGGCCGUGAGGGUUCAAGUCCCUCCCCGAGCACAA
This 87-nucleotide transfer RNA is filed under the name Candidatus Jorgensenbacteria bacterium RIFCSPLOWO2_02_FULL_45_12. RNAcentral describes it as "tRNA-Leu". It matches the Rfam family "tRNA". Rfam says of the family: Transfer RNA (tRNA) molecules are approximately 80 nucleotides in length. Their secondary structure includes four short double-helical elements and three loops (D, anti-codon, and T loops). Further hydrogen bonds mediate the characteristic L-shaped molecular structure. tRNAs have two regions of fundamental functional importance: the anti-codon, which is responsible for specific mRNA codon recognition, and the 3' end, to which the tRNAs corresponding amino acid is attached (by aminoacyl-tRNA synthetases). tRNAs cope with the degeneracy of the genetic code in two manners: having more than one tRNA (with a specific anti-codon) for a particular amino acid; and 'wobble' base-pairing, i.e. permitting non-standard base-pairing at the 3rd anti-codon position. The record is from RNAcentral. Lineage: Bacteria; Candidatus Joergenseniibacteriota.